Molecule: ribosomal RNA, 460 nt
Filed under: uncultured bacterium
Lineage: Bacteria
Description: partial 16S ribosomal RNA
Rfam family: Bacterial small subunit ribosomal RNA
Source: RNAcentral
CCUACGGGUGGCAGCAGUGAGGAAUAUUGGUCAAUGGACGAGAGUCUGAACCAGCCAAGUAGCGUGAAUGAUGACUGCCCUAUAGGUUGUAAACUUCUUUUAUAUGGGAAUAAAACGUUCCACGUGUGGGAUUUUGUAUGUACCAUAUGAAUACGGAUCGGCUAACUCAGUGCCAGCAGCCGCGGUAAUACGGAGGAUCCGAGCGUUAUCCGGAUUUAUUGGGUGUAAAGGGAGCGUAGGUGGAUUGUUAAGUCUGUUGUGAAAGUUUGCGGCUCAACCGUGAAAUUGCAGUUGAAACUGGCAGUCUUGAGUACUGUAGAGGUGGGCGGAAUUCGUGGUGUAGCGGUGAAAUGCGUAGAUAUCAUGAAGAACUCCGAUUGCGAAGGCAGCUCACUGGACUGCAACUGACACUGAGGCUCGAAAGUGUGGGUAUCAAACAGGAUUAGAUACCCUGGUAGUC